GACGAACGCUGGCGGCGUGCUUAACACAUGCAAGUCGAACGGAAAGGCCCCUUUGUUGGUACUCGAGUGGCGAACGGGUGAGUAACACGUGAGUAACCUGCCCUUGACUUCGGGAUAACUUCAGGAAACUGGGGCUAAUACCGGAUAGGAAUCCUUGCUGCAUGGUGGGGGUUGGAAAGCUUCGGCGGUUUUGGAUGGACUGGCGGCUUAUCAGCUUGUUGGUGGGGUAGUGGCUUACCAAGGCUUUGACGGGUAGCCGGCCUGAGAGGGCGACCGGCCACAUUGGGACUGAGAUACGGCCCAGACGCCUACGGGAGGCAGAAGUGGGGAAUAUUGCACAAUGGGCGGAAGCCUGAUGCAGAAACGCCGCGUGCGGGAUGACGGCCUUCGGGUUGUCAACCGCUUUCAGCAGGGGCGAAGCUUGUGGUGACGGUACCUGCAGAAGAAGCACCGGCUAACUACGUG
This 465-nucleotide ribosomal RNA is filed under the name uncultured bacterium. RNAcentral describes it as "partial 16S ribosomal RNA". It matches the Rfam family "Bacterial small subunit ribosomal RNA", at positions 28 to 507 of the family's 1533-position model. The record is from RNAcentral.